AACCAUAGAAACCUGCGGAGUACCUGCGGAGGGAUCAUUAUAAAAUUUUCAUAUAUUAAAUUUAUUUAAUAUAUAAAAUUUAUAUACAAAAUGUAUUCAAAACCCACACUCUUUAUAACCAUAAAAAAAAUAUAUUAUUUUUAUAAUAUAAAAACAACUUUCAACAAUGGAUCU
RNAcentral lists this unclassified non-coding RNA (174 nucleotides) under soil metagenome. RNAcentral's name for it is "partial contains 5.8S ribosomal RNA, internal transcribed spacer 2, and large subunit ribosomal RNA". The record is from RNAcentral.